GAUGAACGCUGGCGGCGCGCCUAACACAUGCAAGUCGAACGAUUAAAGCACCUUCGGGUGUGUAUAAAGUGGCGAACGGCUGAGUAACACGUGGGCAACCUGCCCCUUUCAUUGGGAUAGCCACGGGAAACCGUGGAUAAUACCGAAUACUUCGAGACUUCCGCAUGGAAGACUCGAGAAAGCUCCGGCGGAGAGGGAUUGGCCCGCGGCCUGUUAGCUUGUUGGUGGGGUAACAGCCUACCAAGGCAAUGAAGGGUAGCUGGGUAGGGAGGGCGACCAGCGGAAAUGGGAAGGGGGGACAGCCCAGGAGCCCACGGGAGGCAGCGGGGGGGAAGGUGGGACAAAGGGCGGGAGCCGGAAGCAACAACGCCGCGGGGGGGAGGAAAGCCGUCGGGUGGGGAACCGAGUUCAGCCGGGGCGAAGCGUGUCGGGACGGUACCUGCAGAAGAAGCACCGGCUAACUACGUG
RNAcentral lists this ribosomal RNA (468 nucleotides) under uncultured bacterium. RNAcentral describes it as "partial 16S ribosomal RNA". It matches the Rfam family "Bacterial small subunit ribosomal RNA", at positions 28 to 507 of the family's 1533-position model. The record is from RNAcentral.